GAUGAACGCUGGCGGCGUGCCUAAUACAUGCAAGUCGAGCGAACAGAUGAGGAGCUUGCUCCUCUGACGUUAGCGGCGGACGGGUGAGUAACACGUGGAUAACCUACCUAUAAGACUGGGAUAACUUCGGGAAACCGGAGCUAAUACCGGAUAAUAUAUUGAACCGCAUCGUUCAAUAGUGAAAGACGGUUUUGCUGUCACUUAUAGAUGGAUCCGCGCCGCAUUAGCUAGUUGGUAAGGUAACGGCUUACCAAGGCAACGAUGCGUAGCCGACCUGAGAGGGUGAUCGGCCACACUGGAACUGAGACACGGUCCAGACUCCUACGGGAGGCAGCAGUAGGGAAUCUUCCGCAAUGGGCGAAAGCCUGACGGAGCAACGCCGCGUGAGUGAUGAAGGUCUUCGGAUCGUAAAACUCUGUUAUUAGGGAAGAACAAAUGUGUAAGUAACUAUGCACGUCUUGACGGUACCUAAUCAGAAAGCCACGGCUAACUACGUG
RNAcentral lists this ribosomal RNA (497 nucleotides) under uncultured bacterium. RNAcentral's name for it is "partial 16S ribosomal RNA". It matches the Rfam family "Bacterial small subunit ribosomal RNA", at positions 28 to 507 of the family's 1533-position model. The record is from RNAcentral.